AGUCAAAUUCCAGUUCAGCUAGCUGCUAUACCAACCCUCCAAAUCUUGAAAUUGUAUAAUAGUAGACAUGCAGCAGCCUCUGCGAUUAGGAUACGUGACGAGAUCCGAGAACACAUGCAUGAACAAAGGCCGAGGAGGAACGCAACCAAAUUCAUGCUCUCCAUUUACCCUCCAAUUGAAUGACCACCGUUGCCACUUGCCAGGUGAGCUAAGCUAUCAAUUAUUCAAUAUAUACAAUUUUAGCUUUCUAAUCCUCUUCUCCCUGAUAAGGAUAGUUUUCUUAUUUGACUUGAUUACUUAUGAGAUUAAAUCAGGCGAAUAUUGGUUGUUUCGUGCUUUAAUUACACUAGGUUCUUACUAUUAAGACAACUCUGCCUCAUGUCCCCCAAAAAUGUUAAGGUUUUGUACAUUGGUGUUUUAUUUAUGUACGACGUUGUCAUUUUUCUUUUUCUUUUUUGACUUGAUGUCUUUAUUUUUCUUGAUACGAAAUAAGUUUUGAUAAUUUAUCUGUCUAUAUCUAGCCUCAGGCUCGUAUUUAUCAAUGUUGUUAUAUGGUGCAGAUGUCACUCAGAAGUUUCCAAAGAGAUUAUGGAAGAUGCCUGCGUAGUAAUCUUCUCGACAAAUCUCGUAAACUAGCUUCAGUAAUUGAAUAAAUGUUGUACUUUGGUUGUUUUCCAUUAAGAAUGUUGUUUUUUUUUUUUUGGUGGAUUAAGAAUGUUGUUUAUUGUGUGAUAAUACAUAGUAGCACAUUUGGUAAAAGAAAUAAGUUAAAUAUCACCAUCCAUAAAAAUAUAAGUUUAGU
This 802-nucleotide long non-coding RNA is filed under the name Salvia miltiorrhiza (redroot sage). Its description in RNAcentral is "long non-coding RNA (SMIL_LNC011567)". Lineage: Eukaryota; Viridiplantae; Streptophyta; Magnoliopsida; Lamiales; Lamiaceae. The record is from RNAcentral.